GACGUAGGGCGCGAGCGUUGUCCGGAUUUAUUGGGCGUAAAGAGCUCGUAGGCGGCUUGUCGCGUCGACCGUGAAAACUUGGGGCUCAACCCCAAGCCUGCGGUCGAUACGGGCAGGCUAGAGUUCGGUAGGGGAGACUGGAAUUCCUGGUGUAGCGGUGAAAUGCGCAGAUAUCAGGAGGAACACCGGUGGCGAAGGCGGCAUCCUGGACCGACACUGACACUGAGGAGCGAAAGCCAGGGGAGCAAACGGG
RNAcentral lists this ribosomal RNA (253 nucleotides) under uncultured bacterium. Its description in RNAcentral is "partial 16S ribosomal RNA". It matches the Rfam family "Bacterial small subunit ribosomal RNA", at positions 524 to 776 of the family's 1533-position model. The record is from RNAcentral.